AUCACCUGUGUUUCCCUCCUUCACUUCGUUCUACUUCUCCGAAAAUCACCAACCGCGUUUCUCCUUCACUCCUUUCUUCUUCUAUGCCAUUAUUUCUUUCAGACAGAGAAUGCUGAGUUCUGCUUUUCUUCUAUCGCUAAUGUGUGUCUUUGAGUUCUCUGCAUAUCUCUGAGUCUCUCCUCCGAAAAUCACCUCUGUGUAUCUCUGAGUUCUGCUUCUCUGCGUUUCUUAUCCGAAAAUCACCUCUACGUAUCUCGGAGUUCUGCUUCUCUGCCUUCGCUGCUGCUACAUCAAGUCAUCAAAAAUGCUGAAGAGUUGCCGUCGCCGUCCUCCAUCUGUUGCCGGCACCAUUGAUCAUCCCAGUUGUUGUCGCCGCUCCGUCUAGUUGCCGUCACUGAUUUCUUGGAUCUAGUAUUUUGGUUUUUUAAUCAACUGUGAUACCUAGAGUUUUCAGAAUCAGAACAGAAAUAAUUCUUGUUGUAGAAGAUCUACUCAGUGAAUCACUGAGCCUUUUCAUCUGGAACUGUUACGCUCAAGUCCAUUCAAAUUUUUCAAACGCAUGAAUGGUUAGAUGCCAAACCAACAGUUUAUUUUCAUUGUCAAGGGGAGAACAAGACAUCUUUACCAGAUGUGAAGGAAGCACACCACAUAUAUACCUUCAAGGGAGAAGAAUCCUGGUAGGCUUGUACCAGGUUUCUAGUUCAAUUUGAAACCCUGUGAUUAGACCAAAUGUUAUUUGACUUGCAAAAAUCUCUUGAAAACUGUACUGCAUAACAUAAGUGCAGAUUUUACGAAUGGAUGUUGUGGAUAUCUGCCAUGAUUGCAUUCUGGUGGUUCUCCAAUCCUUUGUAUGGUUAAGUGGACUACUUGAAAAAUACCCUAGGUCUAGAUGCUAUUCCUUUGAUAAUUUCACAUGACAAAGCUACUAGUUUAAAUAUAACCAGAUUUACGCAGAAUCAACUUUCUAAGGCCAACACUUUGGGAAAAGAUCAUGUGUCUUCACAGGGCAUUCCAUUCUUAUCUCAUUUUAUCAUGUCAAGUUUAUUGAUGUCCAUCUGUAGUAUCUGUAGCAAGAAAAGUAGGGAGCUGAAACAAGGCAGCCUUUGCUGGGUAGUCUUAUCCCUAAGUGAAUUAGUAGGUUGCUGUUAGCCUUCUAUUAGUUUUGCUGUUAUCAUUUGAAGUUGUAUUUUAUGAAAUAUAAACUUGUAUUGAAGCUCCCAAAUCCGAGAUCAAUGCACUGCAAACUGAUUGGAUUUUGCAAAACCAGUGAGGCAAGAAUAUCAACCUUUAAUUAAAAAGAUUUUCCUAGUAUAGUUACAGAAAAUCUUUUUCCCAUAAUCCAAAUAGCUUGUAAAAGAUAUAUGUUUCCCAGUCAAUUACUAUUCCAUAUUUUGGAGAUUCUUGUUAUGUGUCUAUGUGAGAAAUGGGAAUUUAGUUUAAACUUUAGGAGAAUCAUUACCACCUGCAAAGAGGAUCUCUGCAGGAUGAUCUCUGCCCAAGGAAGCUUUCUUUCUUUUUGCAAAUAAUGGUGUUUUGGAAGGUUUCAACUCAUUAAAAGCAAUUAACUCAUUGCCAAUGGUCAUCCUCCACUUUAGUCCAUCAGCAGGUUCUGGUGCAGGAGCAAACACUUCAUUUUUCAGGGAAAUCAAUCAUGAUUUUGAGGGUUGCUUGAUCGAGGCAUCCAGGUCCCUCCAAUGUCUGAGGUGCUUUCACAGGUAGGAAGUAGAGAUCAUCCUUGUUCCUUCCACCUUGAUUGGAGAUGGUAGUUUCAAUGGAGUUCAGAUGCCUCUUCUUCUCUGGGGUCUUAGGUUGAAUUGCUCAUUGGUGCUUGUCUGGAGAAGUAGUUGAGUUACUCUUUGAAUUUUAACUGUAUGGUAGAAGGAAACUGCCAAAUGAUAAUUAGCUAGAUGAAAAAUGGCUAUUUAUCCUUUUGGGCACUAUAUUAAGGGAUGAGGUGGGAACAUCCCAUUCAGAUUGGAAUGGGAUGCUUUGAUACAGUUCAUGGUUCGUGGGGAUGCUUUGAUACAGUUCAAAUGAAGCAAAUGGGUGUGGGUGUGUCUUAGUUAAAAUGUCUUUUAACACUAGGAUAGACCAUGGGUUGGAAAAUGAAGCAAAUGGGUGUGGGUGUGUCUUAGUUAAAAUGUCUUUAAAUACUAGGAUAGACCAUGGGUUGGACCGGUUUCAACUAGGUUUUUGUUGAAUGUUUGAUGGGUCCAUUCUGAACCAUUACUUUUAAGAGAAUUGUAACUUUUGAUAGGACAUGAACCAACCGUCCUAUUAAUUAAAUUCUUAGCAUGAAAAUUUUAUAGUAAAAAUAGAGGGCGUGAAAAUCAAACCCAAGUACACUAAACUGAGCUUGAUCUGCAAUAAAGAGAGAAUUGAUUUCCACAACUAACCAUAAUAUUUAACCAUAUAAUAGUUCCUUUUGAUGAGUGCAAACUGCAUAGUAGGAGUUUCUAUCCAAUAUAUAUAGAAUUGACAAUGAACCCAAAUGAUUCUUAUAAUUAGUAUUAAUUCCUAUUUUUCCUUCUAGUUCAUUGCUGCAUUUUUUUCUUUAUAUUGUCAUAUUCUACAAACUUUUAAUUGCAACCAUAUUACAAUUGUAAUGCAAAUAUGUUUGACCAAUCCAAUCUUGGCCUCACCAUGUGAGUUUGGUUGCAUUUAUCCAGUUUCUAAAACACUGCUCAAGCAUGUGAACAAGAGAAGAAAACCCUUAAUUAAAAAUCACUAUUUCCAUUGCCUUUAAUUUUCCAUCUUCCUUCCUCUUGUAGUGGGUUUUGGUUGAUCAAUUAGGUUUUAGUGCUUGGUUUUUCCUUAAAAUGAGCACCAUUUAAGUGAAGAAAAAUGACGUCCUUUUUAUAGUUUUAAAUUGUCGUUCUACACCAUUUGCUUUUUGUCUGGUUCAUGGGGAUGCUGAAUUAGCAGAAACUGUAUCAAAGCAUAUCAUCGACAAGGCCAGUUGUCUGAGCGAUGGAGAGUACAUGGUGCCGUCUAACAUGUUUGCAUUGAAUGGUAGAUAGAAAGAAGCAGAUAACUGGAGAAGAAUGAUGAAAGAAGCAGGGAUUAGUAAAGUUGCUGGUUGUAGUACUAUAGAGAUCAAUGGUAGAAUGUACAGAUUUCUGGCCAGAGACAGAGAAGGUGGUUAAGCCUAGCUUGACGACUUCAGGACUUCAAGAAUAUUUGAUUAGAAAAGCUGGGCUGUAUGAGUUUGCUUGAUAGUUGACGAUCAGCAAGCAAAUCUCAGCAAUCAAAAAUGUCAACCUGAGAGAAAGAAUAAAUACAUUGCAAGAGAGUAAGAAAACAAGGCUGUGGAGCAUCUCAAGCAAAGUUUAUCUGUAUUUGCAAGACUUAAGAUGUGGACUGAUGGACGAUAAUAUGUGUUAGAUUUGUAAAAAUUGACACCCAAAGCUGUCUGUGAUCAUGGACAAGGUCAAGGACAUACCAGCAGGUAAUGAAACCAUAGAUAUGGCGUUUAUUGGUAUA
Nelumbo nucifera (sacred lotus) is the source of this 3483-nucleotide long non-coding RNA. RefSeq lists it as uncharacterized. Lineage: Eukaryota; Viridiplantae; Streptophyta; Magnoliopsida; Proteales; Nelumbonaceae. The record is from RefSeq and is a predicted model, not a curated record.